GACGAACGCUGGCGGCGUGCUUAACACAUGCAAGUCGAGCGGUGCGGCGAACGGGUGAGCAACGCGUGAGUAACUGCCCCCCUCCCUGGGAUAACAGUUGGAAACGGCUGCUAAUACCGGAUAGUGGGGGAUGACUCGCGGCCUAUCAGCUUGAUGGUGGGGUAGUGGCUUACCGAGGCGACGACGGGUAGCCGGCCUGGGAGGGGGACCGGCCACAGUGGGCUGGGGUAGGGCCCAAGCGGCUACGGGGGGAAGGGGUGGAGAAUAUGGCACAAUGGGGGAAACGCGGGUUCAGCGACGCCGCGUGCGGGAGGUCGGCCUUCGGGGUGUAAACCGCUUUCAGCCAUGACGCGGUAGUGGCAGAAGAAGCACCGGCUAACUACGUGCCAGCAGCCGCGGUAAUAC
RNAcentral lists this ribosomal RNA (405 nucleotides) under uncultured bacterium. Its description in RNAcentral is "partial 16S ribosomal RNA". It matches the Rfam family "Bacterial small subunit ribosomal RNA", at positions 28 to 526 of the family's 1533-position model. The record is from RNAcentral.